GGGCCGCUAGCUCAACAGGCAGAGCAGCUGACUCUUAAUCAGCGGGUUCGAGGUUCGAGUCCUCGGCGGCUCA
Molecule: transfer RNA, 73 nt
Filed under: Dehalococcoidia bacterium
Lineage: Bacteria; Bacillati; Chloroflexota; Dehalococcoidia
Also listed under: 1 other name
Description: tRNA-Lys
Rfam family: tRNA
About the family: Transfer RNA (tRNA) molecules are approximately 80 nucleotides in length.
Source: RNAcentral